Long non-coding RNA from Vigna unguiculata (cowpea), 1073 nucleotides. RefSeq lists it as uncharacterized. Lineage: Eukaryota; Viridiplantae; Streptophyta; Magnoliopsida; Fabales; Fabaceae. The record is from RefSeq and is a predicted model, not a curated record.
UUUUUUAUUAGGGUAACUUUCCCACAUCAGAAGCAGAAGACUGACUAUACACACACAAAAAGUAGUCUUUGCAAUCAACACCCUCUUUGUCGUGUCACUGUCCUCGUCUUCGACGCUGGUCGCUGUCCUCGUCUCCGAGGCUCGCCGCAGUCCUCAUCAACGACGCUCGUCGCCGACCUCGUCAACGACGCUCGUCGCCGUCCUCGUCAACGACGCUCGUCGUCGUCCUUGCCGUCAUCCUCACGACCCUCCCCUGCAACUCUGUUGUUCUACUUGUUUUCUCACUGCAUUUGUUCUCCUCUUUUUUUUUUUUCCUCCUCACGUCAAACCCUAACAUCACAAAACGAUGGAAGAUCGACGUGGUGAUAGAUAGUGACGACGACCUAGCCAUUCCCGACAAGUUUCUUGCUCUCGCACAACCCCCAUGCGUCACCAGAUUCGUCGCCGAAUUGACUUCUCGCUGGCAAGGGUCGAUACGUGGCGCCGGAAACCCCUGACUUCCCAGCCAACUCAAGGGAAGGCACGAAGCUACGAAGUCGCCUCGCCGAAACCAUUCGAGCUUGCGACCAUCUCUGAAGAGGUCACUGUUGUUGGCGUCUUCAAAUCAAAACUCCAGCAGCGGUGUCAACGAGAACUGCCCGAGUCAGCCGCCGACCGUUCCUUCUCCUACGACGGCAAUGUCCUCUGUUCGUUUCUAAGUGUCAAACCGUCACUGUCACCGGUGUCGGCGAUCUGAGCUUGUUCUCUAAUAAUCGAGUGAAGAAGAGUACUAAAAUGGAACACAUAUGGGUUCUACUUACCCGAGCAUGAACAUGGGAAAAAACAGUUCUUUGAGUACUUACAAGGUGAAGCAGAAUCUGGCUUGGGGAAGAGUUCAAUGACUUUCGUACUAAACUAGCUGGAUUGAAUAGGUAUAUAUUACAUAUGUUUUGUUAAGCAUUUGCCUAGACCAGGCAAAAGAGUUGUUUAAAUUUGACCUAUAAUGACUAUGUGGUAAAAGAGUUAUUUAAAUCUGACGUAUAAUGACUAAGGGAAACAGUACCCUAAUAACAAAUUCUAAUUGGACACUUGAA